Molecule: ribosomal RNA, 466 nt
Filed under: uncultured bacterium
Lineage: Bacteria
Description: partial 16S ribosomal RNA
Rfam family: Bacterial small subunit ribosomal RNA
Source: RNAcentral
GAUGAACGCUGGCGGCGUGCUUAACACAUGCAAGUCGAACGGAAAGGCUCCUGCUUGCAGGGGUACUCGAGUGGCGAACGGGUGAGUAACACGUGGGUGAUCUGCCCUGCACUUCGGGAUAAGCCUGGGAAACUGGGUCUAAUACCGGAUAGGACGAUGGUUUGGAUGCCAUUGUGGAAAGUUUUUUCGGUGUGGGAUGAGCUCGCGGCCUAUCAGCUUGUUGGUGGGGUAAUGGCCUACCAAGGCGUCGACGGGUAGCCGGCCUGAGAGGGUGUACGGCCACAUUGGGACUGAGAUACGGCCCAGACUCCUACGGGAGGCAGGAGUGGGGAAUAUUGCACAAUGGGCGCAAGCCUGAUGCAGCGACGCCGCGUGGGGGAUGACGGCCUUCGGGUUGUAAACUCCUUUCGCUAGGGACGAAGCGCAAGUGACGGUACCUGGAGAAGAAGCACCGGCUAACUACGUG